Non-coding RNA from Podarcis lilfordi (Lilford's wall lizard), 74 nucleotides. The record is from the annotation of a GenBank genome assembly. NCBI's taxonomy places the organism in Eukaryota, Metazoa, Chordata, Lepidosauria, Squamata, Lacertidae.
GCCUGGGGCUGGUAUAGCUCAGUUGGUAGAGCAUGGUAUUCUUAACCAUGUGAGUUCGAGUCCCAUGCUGGGCA